Molecule: ribosomal RNA, 1317 nt
Filed under: Trigonodes hyppasia
Lineage: Eukaryota; Metazoa; Arthropoda; Insecta; Lepidoptera; Erebidae
Description: 16S ribosomal RNA
Rfam family: Eukaryotic large subunit ribosomal RNA (bases 1069-1227)
Source: RNAcentral
AAUAAUUUUAAAAUAAAAAUAUUAAAAUAAUUUAAUGGGGGUUAAAGUAUUUUAAUAGAAAUAAUUUUAAAAUUUAUAGUGAAUUAGUAUUGUGAAAGAAGUUUGAAAUAUUAUUAAAUAUAAAAUUAAUUAAAAGUAAUUUUUAUUUAGUGUAUCUUGUGUAUCAGAGUUUAUUAAAAAAAAUUUUUAUUUAAAAAAUUCUCGAAUUUAAGAGAGAUAAUUAAUUAUGAAAGUUAUUGUGACAUAAAUAUUUUAAAUAAUUAAUUGGAAAUGAAAUGUUAGAUCGUUCUUAAAUAUAUCUAGUUUUUUUAGAAAAAAAUUUAAUUUUAAAUUUAUUUAUGUAUUUAUUAAUUAAUUAAUUAAUUAAUAAAAUUUGUUUAUUUAAAUUUUAUAUUUUAGGGGAUAAUCUUUAAUUUAAAUAAAUAUAAUAUAUAAAAAUAAAUGUUAUUUGAAAUUAAUAUAAUUUAAAUUGUUAAUAAAUUUUAAUUUAUUAUAAAUAAUUUCAUUUAAAAUAAAAUUUAAUUAAAAAUUUAUUUUUUUAUAAAAAAAUAAUUUAAAAUAAUUUAAAAUUAAUUAUAAUGAUAAAAUUAGUAUAUAAUUUUUUUUUAAUUUAUUAAUAAAUUUUAAAAAUUAAUUAAAAGGAAUUCGGCAAAUUUUUAUAUUCACUUGUUUAACAAAAACAUGUCUUUUUGUAAAUAAUUUAAAGUCUAAUCUGCCCACUGAUUUUAAUUAAAGGGCUGCAGUAUUUUGACUGUACAAAGGUAGCAUAAUCAUUAGUCAUUUAAUUGAUGACUUGUAUGAAAGAUUGGAUGAAAUAUAGACUGUCUCUUAAUUAAAUUAUAUAAUUUAAUUUUUUAAUUAAAAAGUUAAAAUAAAUUAAAAAGACGAGAAGACCCUAUAGAGUUUUAUAAUUAGUAUAAUUAUAAUUAUUUAUAAAAUUAAAAAUUUAAAUUAUAUUAAUUAUUUUGUUGGGGUGAUGGAAAAAUUUAAUUAACUUUUUUUUUUUUUUACAUAAAUAAGUGGUUAUAUGAUCCAAUAAUAUUGAUUAAAAGAAAAAAUUACCUUAGGGAUAACAGCGUAAUUUUUUUUUUUAGUUCAAAUAAAAAAAAGAGUUUGCGACCUCGAUGUUGGAUUAAGAUAAAAUUUAAAUGCAGAAGUUUAAAAUUUUGAUCUGUUCGAUCAUUAAAAUCUUACAUGAUCUGAGUUCAAACCGGUGUAAGCCAGGUUGGUUUCUAUCUUUUGAAAAAUAAAAUAUUUUAGUACGAAAGGAUUGAAUAUUUAAAUUAAAUUUUUUUUUUUAUGAAUUUUAUUAAAAUU